Molecule: small RNA, 384 nt
Filed under: uncultured bacterium
Lineage: Bacteria
Description: bacterial SSU rRNA
Rfam family: Bacterial small subunit ribosomal RNA (bases 1-286)
Source: RNAcentral
GGAAAGUAGCAAUACGAGUACUAGUGGCGCACGGGUGAGUAACGCGUGGGUAAUCUUCCCCAGAGUGUGGGAUAACCAGUCGAAAGAUUGGCUAAUACCACAUAAGACCACAGGAUCUGCGGAUCUAGAGGUAAAACGUUUUUGGCUUUGGGAUGAGCCCGCGUAGGAUUAGCUAGUUGGUAGGGUAACGGCCUACCAAGGCUUCGAUCCUUAGCUGGUCUGAGAGGAUGAUCAGCCACAUUGGGACUGAGACACGGCCCAAACUCCUACGGGAGGGAGCAGUGGGGCAGUUGGCUCAGAACGAACGCUGGCGGCAUGGCUCUUCACGAACGCUGGAAGCCCACUCCUACGGUUUCUUCUAUCUGNCGGAAAACUCGAGCCAUC